GUCCUCGUAGUAUAAACUCAGUACACCGGUCUUGUAAACCGGAGAUGGACAAUUCUCCCUAGGACA
RNAcentral lists this transfer RNA (66 nucleotides) under Semnopithecus schistaceus (Nepal gray langur). RNAcentral's name for it is "tRNA-Thr". It matches the Rfam family "tRNA". From Rfam's summary of the family: Transfer RNA (tRNA) molecules are approximately 80 nucleotides in length. Lineage: Eukaryota; Metazoa; Chordata; Mammalia; Primates; Cercopithecidae. The record is from RNAcentral.